CGAGGAAUAUUGGUCAAUGGGCGGAAGCCUGAACCAGCCAAGUCGCGUGAGGGAAGACGGUCCUAUGGAUUGUAAACCUCUUUUGCCGGGGAGCAAGACGGUCACGAGUGACCUACUGAGAGUACCCGGAGAAAAGCAUCGGCUAACUCCGUGCCAGCAGCCGCGGUAAUACGGAGGAUGCGAGCGUUAUCCGGAUUUAUUGGGUUUAAAGGGUGCGUAGGCCGACUGUCAAGUCAGUGGUAAAAUUGAGAGGCUCAACCUCUUCGAGCCAUUGAAACUGGCGGUCUAGAGUGGGCGAGAAGUAUGCGGAAUGCGAGGUGUAGCGGUGAAAUGCAUAGAUAUCACGCAGAACUCCGAUUGCGAAGGCAGCAUACCGGCGCCCGACUGACGCUGAGGCACGAAAGCGUGGGUAUCGAGCAGGAUUAGAUACC
This 431-nucleotide ribosomal RNA is filed under the name uncultured bacterium. RNAcentral's name for it is "bacterial SSU rRNA". It matches the Rfam family "Bacterial small subunit ribosomal RNA", at positions 355 to 786 of the family's 1533-position model. The record is from RNAcentral.